UGGGGAAUAUUGGACAAUGGGGGCAACCCUGAUCCAGCGAUGCCGCGUGUGUGAAGAAGGCCUGCGGGUUGUAAAGCACUUUUAGCGGGGAGGAAGUAUUUUCUGUGAAUAGCGGGGGAUAUUGACGGUACCUGCGGAAUAAGCACCGGCUAACUCUGUGCCAGCAGCCGCGGUAAUACAGAGGGUGCGAGCGUUAAUCGGAGUUAUUGGGCGUAAAGCGCACGUAGGUGGGUAAUUAAGUUGGCUGUAAAAUUCCCGGGCUCAACCUGGGAUGGCCAGCCGAUACUGGUUAUCUAGAGUACAGUAGAGGGAAGUGGAAUUUCCGGUGUAGCGGUGAAAUGCGUAGAUAUCGGAAGGAACACCAGUGGCGAAGGCGGCUUUCUGGACUGAUACUGACACUGAGGAGCGAAGGCGUGGGGAGCGAACAGGAUUAGAUACCCUGGUAGUCCACGCGGUAAACGAUGAGAACUAGCCGUUGGUGGAGGAUAUUCAUCAGUGGCG
RNAcentral lists this ribosomal RNA (501 nucleotides) under uncultured Pseudomonadota bacterium. RNAcentral describes it as "bacterial SSU rRNA". It matches the Rfam family "Bacterial small subunit ribosomal RNA", at positions 355 to 848 of the family's 1533-position model. The record is from RNAcentral. Lineage: Bacteria; Pseudomonadati; Pseudomonadota.